This 515-nucleotide ribosomal RNA is filed under the name uncultured bacterium. Its description in RNAcentral is "bacterial SSU rRNA". It matches the Rfam family "Bacterial small subunit ribosomal RNA", at positions 791 to 1310 of the family's 1533-position model. The record is from RNAcentral.
UAGUCCACGCCGUAAACGAUGGUCACUAGUUGUUGGGGCUUUAUGCCUCAGUGAUUAAGCGAAAGUGAUAAGUGACCCACCUGGGGAGUACGAUCGCAAGAUUGAAACUCAAAGGAAUUGACGGGGGCCCGCACAAGCGGUGGAGCAUGUGGUUUAAUUCGAUGAUACGCGAGGAACCUUACCAGGGCUUAAAUGUAAGUUGCAUAGACCAGAGAUGGUCUUUUCUUCGGACUACUUACAAGGUGCUGCAUGGUUGUCGUCAGCUCGUGCCGUGAGGUGUCAGGUUAAGUCCUAUAACGAGCGCAACCCCUACCGUUAGUUGCCAGCAAGUAAAGUUGGGGACUCUAGCGGGACUGCCGGUGCAAACCGAGAGGAAGGUGGGGAUGACGUCAAAUCAUCACGGCCCUUACGUCCUGGGCUACACACGUGCUACAAUGGUCGUGACAAAGAGUUGCUAGUCUGCGAAGGCAAGCCAAUCUCAUAAACGCGGCCUUAGUUCGGAUUGCAGGCUGAAA